Molecule: transfer RNA, 72 nt
Filed under: Haemonchus contortus (barber pole worm)
Lineage: Eukaryota; Metazoa; Nematoda; Chromadorea; Rhabditida; Trichostrongylidae
Description: tRNA, Pseudo
Source: RNAcentral
UUCCCAACCCAGGGAUCAAACCCAGGUCUCCCGCAUUGCAGGCAGAUUCUUUACCAACUGAGCCACAAUGGA